This 253-nucleotide ribosomal RNA is filed under the name uncultured bacterium. Its description in RNAcentral is "partial 16S ribosomal RNA". It matches the Rfam family "Bacterial small subunit ribosomal RNA", at positions 524 to 776 of the family's 1533-position model. The record is from RNAcentral.
UACGUAGGUGGCGAACGUUGUCCGGAUUUACUGGGCGUAAAGAGCGCGCAGGCGGUCGUACAAGUCGCGUGUGAAAGCCCCCGGCUCAACUGGGGAGGGUCACGCGAUACUGUUCGACUCGAAGGCAGGAGAGGGUAGUGGAAUUCCCGGUGUAGUGGUGAAAUGCGUAGAUAUCGGGAGGAACACCAGUGGCGAAGGCGACUACCUGGCCUGUUCUUGACGCUGAGGCGCGAAAGCUAGGGUAGCAAACGGG